RNAcentral lists this ribosomal RNA (1794 nucleotides) under Anaerococcus nagyae. RNAcentral's name for it is "partial 23S ribosomal RNA". It matches the Rfam family "Bacterial large subunit ribosomal RNA", at positions 951 to 2925 of the family's 2925-position model. The record is from RNAcentral. Lineage: Bacteria; Bacillati; Bacillota; Tissierellia; Tissierellales; Peptoniphilaceae.
UAACUACAAAAAUCACUAGAUUAAACAGUAAGAUAUAUGAAUAAAAAAUAUAUCAAAGUCUGGAAAAAAGUAUUCUAAAACCGAUAAAAAUGGCACUUAUGUAUAGAUUUAAAUACUCUAUCAGUGGUAGAGGAGCAUUGUAUUAGGGAAGAAGCCUAAGCGAAAGCAAGUGUGGACUUAAUACAAGAGAGAAUGCUGGCAUGAGUAGCGAGAAGGAGUGUGAGAAUCACUCCCGUCGAAACCCUAAGGACUCCUGAGCAAGGCUCGUCCCCUCAGGGAAAGUCGGGACCUAAGGCAAGGCCUAAAGGCGUAGCCGAUGGAUAACAGGUUUAUAUUCCUGUACCGCUUAAAGUCGCAAUAAGAGACGUGAUGACGCAAGAGGAUAAACUAUCUGCCCGAUGGAAGGCAGUCUAAGCACAAAGGCCGAUUAGUAGGCAAAUCCGCUAAUCAUAAAGCUGAUGUGUGAUAGGUAUCGAAAACAUGAGUAGAGAAGUAGUCGAUUUCAAAUUGCCAAGAAAAGUCACUAUCAAGACAAAAGCGCCCGUACCAAAACCGACACAGGUAGGGAGGUAGAGAAUACCAAGACGCGCGGAAGAACCUUUGUUAAGGAACUCGGCAAAAUGUCCCCGUAACUUCGGGAGAAGGGGAGCCAGAGCGAUCUGGCCACAGAAACCAGGCCCAAGCGACUGUUUACCAAAAACACAAGUUUCUGCAAAAUCGAAAGAUGAAGUAUAGGAGCUGACACCUGCCCGGUGCUGGAAGGUUAAGGGGAAGGCUUAGCAUAAGCGAAGGCUAGAACUUAAGCCCCAGUAAACGGCGGCCGUAACUAUAACGGUCCUAAGGUAGCGAAAUUCCUUGUCGGGUAAGUUCCGACCCGCACGAAAGGUGUAACGAUUUGGGCACUGUCUCAACAAAGGAUCCGGUGAAAUUGUAGUAGUCGUGAAGAUGCGACUUACCCACGCUAGGACGGAAAGACCCCGUGGAGCUUUACUGUAGGCUGAUAUUGGAUUUUGAGAUUAGACGUACAGGAUAGUUGGGAGACAAAGAAACUUGCACGCCAGUGUAGGUUGAGUCAACCUUGGGAUACCAACCCUCUAAUAUCAAAAUUCUAACAUUGACCCCUAAUCGGGGCAAAGGACAUUGUCAGUCGGGCAGUUUGACUGGGGCGGUCGCCUCCCAAAAAGUAACGGAGGCGUUCAAAGGUUCGCUCAGAAUGGACGGAAACCAUUCGAAGAGUACAAAGGCAAAAGCGAGCUUAACUGCGAGAGAUACAUCUCAAGCAGAGUAGAAAUACGGACUUAGUGAUCCGGUGGCACCGCAUGGAAGGGCCAUCGCUCAACGGAUAAAAGCUACCCCGGGGAUAACAGGCUUAUCUCCCCCAAGAGUCCACAUCGACGGGGAGGUUUGGCACCUCGAUGUCGGCUCGUCUCAUCCUGGGGCUGAAGUAGGUCCCAAGGGUUGGGCUGUUCGCCCAUUAAAGAGGCACGCGAGCUGGGUUCAGAACGUCGUGAGACAGUUCGGUCCCUAUCCAGCGUGGGCGUAAGAAAUUUGAGAGGACCUGUCCUUAGUACGAGAGGACCGGGAUGGACAUACCACUGGUGUACCAGUUGUUCCGCCAGGAGCAUAGCUGGGUAGCUAAGUAUGGCACUGAUAAGUACUGAAAGCAUCUAAGUACGAAGCAACCCUCAAGAUAAGAUUUCUAAGAGUACGUAAAGAAAAUACGUUUGAUAGGUCCAAGGUGUAAGUGCAGUAAUGUAUUAAGCUAAUGGAUACUAAACUUUAAAUCUUGACUGG